GUGAUGCGUAUCGGAUUUACUGGGCGUAAGCGCGCGUAGGUGGUUAAUUAAGUCAAAUGUGAAAUCCCCGAGCUUAACUUGGGAAUUGCAUUCGAUACUGGUUAGCUAGAGUAUGGGAGAGGAUGGUAGAAUUCCAGGUGUAGCGGUGAAAUGCGUAGAGAUCUGGAGGAAUACCGAUGGCGAAGGCAGCCAUCUGGCCUAAUACUGACACUGAGGUGCGAAAGCAUGGGGAGCAAACAGGAUUAGAUACCCUGGUAGUCCAUGCCGUAAACGAUGUCUACUAGCCGUUGGGGGAUUUGAUCCUUUAGUGGCGCAGCUAACGCGAUAAGUAGACCGCCUGGGGAGUACGGUCGCAAGACUAAAACUCAAAUGAAUUGACGGGGGCCCGCACAAGCGGUGGAGCAUGUGGUUUAAUUCGAUGCAACGCGAAGAACCUUACCUGGCCUUGACAUAGUAGAGACUUUCCAGAGAUGGAUUGGUGCCUUCGGGAAUCUACAUACAGGUGCUGCAUGGCUGUCGUCAGCUCGUGUCGUGAGAUGUUGGGUUAAGUCCCGCAACGAGCGCAACCCUUUUCCUUACUUGCCAGCAUUUCGGAUGGGAACUUUAAGGAUACUGCCAGUGACAAACUGGAGGAAGGCGGGGACGACGUCAAGUCAUCAUGGCCCUUACGGCCAGGGCUACACACGUGCUACAAUGGUCGGUACAAAGGGUUGCUACACAGCGAUGUGAUGCUAAUCUCAAAAAGCCGAUCGUAGUCCGGAUCGCAGUCUGCAACUCGACUGCGUGAAGUCGGAAUCGCUAGUAAUCGCGGAUCAGAAUGCCGCGGUGAAUACGUUCCCGGGCCUUGUACACACCGCCCGUCACACCAUGGGAGUUUGUUGCACCAGAAGUAGUAGUCUAACCGCAAGGAGGACGCUUACCACGGUGUGGCCGAUGACUGGGUGAGUCUAGAGGAACGAAAAAAAAAAAAAAA
Molecule: ribosomal RNA, 973 nt
Filed under: Acinetobacter sp. NF108
Lineage: Bacteria; Pseudomonadati; Pseudomonadota; Gammaproteobacteria; Moraxellales; Moraxellaceae
Description: bacterial SSU rRNA
Rfam family: Bacterial small subunit ribosomal RNA
Source: RNAcentral